CUUUGGUGAAGAGGAUUAUAGGCUGGU
RNAcentral lists this non-coding RNA (27 nucleotides) under Cricetulus griseus (Chinese hamster). The record is from RNAcentral. Lineage: Eukaryota; Metazoa; Chordata; Mammalia; Rodentia; Cricetidae.